GUUCACUCCUGGGGCGCCGCCCCCUGCCUCUGGGGCCGCCGCCUCUUCCUGCCCUUAGCCCUUAGGGCCGCUGCCACCACCGCCGAUGGCGGACAUAUGGGCGCCGCCUUUGAGGGCGACUGCGUCGUCGUCGAAGAACAGAGAUGCGCCUCGGCGUGCAGUAAUCUAGUGGUGGCGACCAUGCAGCGGGAGGACGAGAAGACCAUCGUCGAUUGCAAAGAAAUGCCGGACGACUUGAUUGCCGAUUCCAACGAAGACGACGCGUCUGUUAUUCAUUCUCCGUCGCCUCAUUCGUGGACUUAGUUCAUGAUUUUCCUGCAUGUACUUAAUUAACGAUGCAAGAAGAGUAAACAAAAUGUAAAUAGUCAGAUUUUGAUGAGCAUGUCGCCGGCAAGCAGCCGGCCGUUCUUCCUGUCA
Long non-coding RNA from Panicum virgatum (switchgrass), 417 nucleotides. RefSeq lists it as uncharacterized. The record is from RefSeq and is a predicted model, not a curated record. The transcript is spliced from 2 exons. NCBI's taxonomy places the organism in Eukaryota, Viridiplantae, Streptophyta, Magnoliopsida, Poales, Poaceae.